AACAUACUCCCUCCGUCCGAAAAUACUUGUCAUCAAAAUGAAUAAAAAAAAAUGUAUCUACAACUAAAAUACGUCUAGAUACAUUUCCUUUUAUCCAUUUUGAUGACAAGUAUUUCCAGACGGAGGGAGUACUAA
Molecule: non-coding RNA, 135 nt
Organism: Triticum aestivum (bread wheat)
Lineage: Eukaryota; Viridiplantae; Streptophyta; Magnoliopsida; Poales; Poaceae
Source: Rfam